Molecule: non-coding RNA, 533 nt
Organism: Cinara cedri
Lineage: Eukaryota; Metazoa; Arthropoda; Insecta; Hemiptera; Aphididae
Source: the annotation of a GenBank genome assembly
GUUACGAAAAUUCACGUAAAAUCGUGUUUCGAUUUAUUACAAAUGUUAAAUUUAACGAUUCGGAAAAACAUUUGUGUUAAGAUUAGUCUAUACGAAUUUAAGUCCUAAUGAGAAAUGCGCGCCUGGUUUCCCUACGUUAUAAGUUCUAUUCGUGAUCGAACGGUUGACAAGCUUACCUUCAUGUCGUCUUCCAAGUUCUUCAGAUGCGAUCGAUUUUCGGUUUUAACGGCAUUCACAGAACUAGCACCGAGUAGUUCUUCGACACCAACACUCCGAGCACUCUUGUAUUCGGUAAAGACAAUUCCACAUUUAAUUUAGGUUUCUUAAUUUAAAAAAAAAAACGAUCCAUUAUACGUGCGCAACACGUGGAAUAUCAGUGGCGUAUAAAAUAAAUUUCGGUUUAAACAAACACGUCGAUAAGAACAAUUCGCUUCGCGGCGGACGACUAACGACGAGUAACCGGCUUUGAGCGAAUACAACAGUUUAAUGAGAAAUCACGAACGAAAAUAAUUUUUAUUACACUAUUUAUCCAG